AUGCAGCUCAAAAUGGGUGGUAAAUUCCAUCUAAAGCUAAAUACUGGCGAGAGACCGAUAGCGAACAAGUACCGUGAGGGAAAGAUGWGAAGCACUUUGGAAAGAGAGUUAAACAGUACGUGAAAUUGUUGAAAGGGAAACGUUUGAAGUCAGUCGCGUCGGCCGGGACUCARCCUUGCUAUCUUGCUUGGUGCACUUCUCGGUCGACGGGUCAGCAUCAAUUUUGACCGUCGGAUAAAGGCCGAGGGAACGUGGCAUCCUCCGGGGUGUGUUAUAGCCCUUGGUUCGCAUACGGCGAUYGGGAUUGAGGAACUCAGCGCGCCUUYAUUGGUCSGGG
RNAcentral lists this ribosomal RNA (337 nucleotides) under uncultured Atheliaceae. RNAcentral describes it as "eukaryotic LSU rRNA". It matches the Rfam family "Eukaryotic large subunit ribosomal RNA", at positions 280 to 622 of the family's 3401-position model. The record is from RNAcentral. Lineage: Eukaryota; Fungi; Basidiomycota; Agaricomycetes; Atheliales; Atheliaceae.